CAGUAGCCGCGGGAAUACGUAGGUGGCAAGCGUUGUCCGGAUUUAUUGGGCGUAAAGCGAGCGCAGGCGGUUCCUUAAGUCUGAUGUGAAAGCCCCCGGCUCAACCGGGGAGGGUCAUUGGAAACUGGGGAACUUGAGUGCAGAAGAGGAGAGUGGAAUUCCAUGUGUAGCGGUGAAACGCGUAGAUAUAUGGAGGAACACCAGUGGCGAAGGCGACUCUCUGGUCUGUAACUGACGCUGAGGCUCGAAAGCGUGGGUAGCAACAGGAUUAGAUACCCGAGUAGUCCCUGUCUCUUAUACA
Molecule: ribosomal RNA, 301 nt
Filed under: uncultured bacterium
Lineage: Bacteria
Description: partial 16S ribosomal RNA
Rfam family: Bacterial small subunit ribosomal RNA
Source: RNAcentral